RNAcentral lists this small RNA (68 nucleotides) under Mariniflexile fucanivorans. RNAcentral describes it as "Flavo-1 RNA". It matches the Rfam family "Flavo-1 RNA", at positions 9 to 76 of the family's 76-position model. The record is from RNAcentral. Lineage: Bacteria; Pseudomonadati; Bacteroidota; Flavobacteriia; Flavobacteriales; Flavobacteriaceae.
GGGAUUGAAGUGGAAAUCCUUUUUGUGAGGCACGAACAAAAAGAUUGUAACGAAAAGCCCGACCCCGA